This is a long non-coding RNA of Trachemys scripta elegans, 1672 nucleotides long. RefSeq lists it as uncharacterized. The record is from RefSeq and is a predicted model, not a curated record. Lineage: Eukaryota; Metazoa; Chordata; Testudines; Emydidae. The transcript is spliced from 2 exons.
CUAGGGCCUGAACUUUAGUUGGCUCGGGCCUGAACUUUGGUUCAGACCUGAACAUUAAAGUUUAUUGGAGAAGAGGGUUCUUAAAGGCAGGGAGAAGGAAAGUACAAAAGCAGAACUAUCUAUAAUCACAAGGCCUAUGAUUCAUAACGGCUCACUAAUAGUUUUGGGGGAAGCUUGGGAACCGCAAAGGGCAGACUGUGAAAAACAGGAAAGCUUGCUAAGCUAUAUUCCCUUUUUGGGGGAAUGUAUUCCAAAUAUAGCAAUAAUGUUGAUCAGAAAGUAUGCAUUACCUAAUUGUGGUUUUAUGCUAUAUAAGCUAUUUGAAAAUCUGUAGUCGGGGGGGAUUGCCAGUUCGCUGGUACCCCCGUGCAUGCAUGAAAAUAAAGAGGCCUCAGGCGAUUCUGAUCCAAACACAACGCGUGGUCGUUUUUCCACUACAAUCUUGGUGCCUGUGACUCGGAUCCACAGACUGUCCACUGGACCAGGAAACCGCGGACCGUUCCCCUCCGAACCCAGUCGGCAUUUGAUAGCAACCCUGCCACUCGCUAAAACCAGGAGACUGGAUCUACAUAAAGGUUCAUCAGUGAGGAACCACCCUGAACCCACGCUUCGCACUGCAAAAAGGCCCCUCCACUGUGAGAAGAUUCUCCGACUGAUGACUGGCUGUUUCUCCUUCUGGUGCUGCUGUUUCUUCUGGACAGCAGAAGAAAAGGACAAGAUAAAAAGCUGGUAACCUCUCCUUUGUCCGUUAACAAACCCACUGUGCCUUUGAAUCUUGCGAAAAAAAACAACCUCUCCACCUGAGGACAUAAUAAAGCCUCUAACCAAGCAAGGUGAUUGUGCUAGUAACCUCUCUCUUGCUGCCUCACUGCCGAACAGCUAAGUGAACUAAAACUACGGAAUCUCAAAAAAUAGCUUGCGGAAGCUAGCCAAAACUACCUAAAAAUGAAACUUUUCCUUAGCCUCUCCUUCUUAACGAACUUAGGGUGGGAAUGGGAAAGUAAUAUUUUUAAAUCUUAGCCAAUCAGUAGCCUCUGAUUUAGCCUGUACCAUAUUGUAAUGUAUCCCUAUUUAGAUCAUUAAUAUUAAUGCCCUUUGUAAAGGUGUUUAACCAACGGAUGUGGUAUAAUACUUCACAAAAAAAAGAUGUUAGGACAUCGGAGAACUGUAAUUAAUGCCACAUUAGGGACCAUUAAGUUCACGCUGUCCUUAUCCAGUUUUCAAAUUAUCUUUAUAUAUCCAAAUUGCUCUAAAGGAGCUGCCAUUUGGCUAGCACAACAAAAGACCUUGGCUUCUCCCAAAAAAAGAGAAGAGAUUUGACUGAAUACUUGUGGGACGGGGCUAAUGGCGCAGCUGUAAUUUGGAAUAUUCACAAAAGCCAACACCAUAAGGGAAAAUUAGGUCAAUUAGAAAAAAAACAAAAACAAAAAACACUGGUCUUAUUGAAACACAGCUAAUGCAGGUUCAGGCUGGGGUUGGUAAAUUGUAUGUUAUUUCUGCCCUUAGUUUUAUAACCCAGGAGUUGCUGACGGAAAUGGUCUUAAAUAUCACUGGUGCUGGGAAGGCAUUGCAGUGGGACAUGGCAUGUUCAAAAGUCCCGGAUUUUCUAAGUAACCAGCUAAUGGCCAUUCGGAGUGAUCUUAAGCACCAGGCCUGGCUCACUGCCCUUACA